This is a long non-coding RNA of Colossoma macropomum (tambaqui), 1019 nucleotides long. RefSeq lists it as uncharacterized. Lineage: Eukaryota; Metazoa; Chordata; Actinopteri; Characiformes; Serrasalmidae. The record is from RefSeq and is a predicted model, not a curated record. The transcript is spliced from 3 exons.
UUGAUAAUACAUGACAAUUUCUACAUUUUUAAUUCAUCUGAAAAUGUUCAAGUUUUCAUUAUGUAUGACGUUAUGUGAGGUUACAUGAGUUUACUGUUAACAGGCUUUCCAGGAAAAAGCCAGAGAAAUGAACCCGCCCCCGAAUUCCUUUUCUAUGGAAAGCUGAGCAAAAGCUGCUCCUCACUGAGGAUGUCGAAAAGAAAACAAGCUGCUUUCGUCACAGCACAGGGGCUUGGGAUAACAGCAGCUUGGAAGAAAAGUCAUUCAGAAGAGGACAAGAGACAGGAAACACCAAACCACACUCCACAAAGAAAACAACAGCACUUCUUUUCAGGAAACUGAGUUUGAUUGUCUCCACUGGUGGGCGACUUCAGAGACUUCUGAAAGUAGAACCAAAAUCAUUAGGAAUGGACUGAUGACCAGAUUUCUCUGGUAGAGAGCAGAAUUCAUGGUUCCGUCAAGUCCGGCAAGCCAUGAAUCAUCAUUCAAUCAUCAUUCCCAAGCCAUUACACUGCCACCACGUUUCGCUGUUGGUGAGUUGUGUGAAUUGUGGAAUACACACAACAUUAUGGCAAAAGUGUUGGGGGUAAUCAGGGUGUUUUCUGGCAAAUGUAAAAUGAGCCUUUAUGUUCCUCUUGGUUUGCAGUGGUUGUUGCAUGUGAAGAGAGCUGCAUUUCCUUAAGUGUUCAUCUGAGUUAUUUUGUGAUGUCCUGAAUGAGUCAUCAGUGAACCCUGGGAGGGAUUCUGCUAGGUUCGCCACUUCUGGAAGAUUCGUCAUUCUUCCAGGUUUUCUAUAUUUGGAGAUAAUGGCUCUCAUUGUGGUUUAAUGGAGUCUUGGAGCCUUAGGAAUGUCUUCUUUUCCAGACUGAUAUAGUUCAAUAACUUUCUUUCCUACUUCUUCCUGAAUUUCUUGUCCGCGAUGUAGUGUCCUGCUAGCCCGCUUUACACUGCAGGAAAGUUUCUGUUUAGGUGAUGUUAAGAUAUUACCAGAGCCGGCAGUAAUUAAGCCUCGUUGAGUC